RNAcentral lists this long non-coding RNA (1237 nucleotides) under Homo sapiens (human). RNAcentral describes it as "HSALNT0368975". Lineage: Eukaryota; Metazoa; Chordata; Mammalia; Primates; Hominidae. The record is from RNAcentral.
GCUGGGAUUACAGGCAUGAGCCAAUACGCCCGGCCUAUUUUUGAGAUUUUCUGCUGCUACUCCAGCUUAGCCUGACAGAGCUUUCACUUUUUGUUCCUACCCCUUCGUGUGCAUCUGAACAAUCCACAAGCCUCACGAACUCCUGUGGCUUCCCUCCCUUCGAGCUGUAUCCACCAUGACCUCUUGACCAGGGCUGAGGGAGAAGGAGGAGGGUCGUGCCACUAUCCUAGCACCCUCUGUCAAGAGCCACAGUCAUCAGAACCAUGGAGUGACUGACUGGAGAGAAGCAGCAAGAGACGGCCAGACAAAACAUCUUAAUGGGAUACUUAGUCUCUUUGUUUCAUUCAAGAGGGAUCUACCAAAAGGGAUCACCUCCUACAAAUGCUAAAUGGGUUUAAGGUUUAUACAGCAGCUCAUGUGGGUUCAGGGAUGCACAGGCAUUUCCCAACGUGUCAUCAUCCCUGGUUCUGAUAAAAUCCAGAGUGGGGCCUGUAAAUCAGAGGGCUUCACCCCUGAACCCACAGCAGCACCACCAAGACACAGUGUCCCCACUGUGCACAAGAUUACAGCUUCUCUCUUGCUGCCCUUUCAAUAUACCAGUCCUUACUCAAGCACACAAAAACUGUGCUUUUGCCCCUGGCAUUUGAGAAGUUUGUGAAUAGACACCAGCACUUGGAUAUUGAUUUUUCACACGAUGGUGACUUUUAAAUUCCUCUAUUGCUCCUGACUGAGUUUAGCAACCUCUUGACUAUUCUGGAAAACCAAAGAACUUCGGAAACAAUCAAACAAAUAUUAAAUUCAAUCACCCAGCAACACUGGGGAGGCAAAUGAAAUUUUACUCCUAAGAAUCUAAAGCCCCCAUAGUAAAUAUUUCUUUGCUGGCUGGCAAAUGAAUGUUUCUCAGCCCUUCUCAUGUCUGGAGACACCAAGUAAUGGGACAGCUCUUAAGCUGUCCCCAUGGUUUGUGACCAAGACUGGGGGCUACUUUGGCCUUCGUGGAAGUCCAGCACACUUCAACUGAGCUGCCAGUGGUGCCGAAUCCUGGAAAAUGCUGAGAGCCCUAAAAGUGGAUCAAGGAAAGGCUGUCAGUGCAUCAUCUCCCCCAGUCCUUGGCAAAGCCAGGGAGCAGGGUCCUGAUCCCCCAGAUUCCAGCUCUUCCUAAUGUUUCUCAGGAAAGAAGACUGCCCUGCUGCUGAUGGCCCAGGAGCCUGCCCAGAAAGCUCUGGGUAAAAAGCAA